CCUACGGGAGGCAGCAGUAGGGAAUCUUCCGCAAUGGACGCAAGUCUGACGGAGCGACGCCGCGUGAGUGAUGAAGGUCUUCGGAUCGUAAAACUCUGUUGUCAGGGAAGAACAAGUGCCGUUCGAAUAGGGCGGUACCUUGACGGUACCUAACCAGAAAGCCCCGGCUAACUACGUGCCAGCAGCCGCGGUAAU
Molecule: ribosomal RNA, 195 nt
Filed under: uncultured bacterium
Lineage: Bacteria
Description: partial 16S ribosomal RNA
Rfam family: Bacterial small subunit ribosomal RNA
Source: RNAcentral